RNAcentral lists this long non-coding RNA (326 nucleotides) under Capsella rubella. RNAcentral's name for it is "long non-coding RNA (CRUB_LNC003992)". Lineage: Eukaryota; Viridiplantae; Streptophyta; Magnoliopsida; Brassicales; Brassicaceae. The record is from RNAcentral.
AUUUUUUUUGUAGUUGGUGUAGCUCAUAUUUUUGAUAAUAUGAUUUUCUAUGUAUCUCGCGUUUUUUGAAUUGUUUGUAUUAUUUGAUUUGCUUAUCAUUUGUUUAUGUUUUUUUAUUCCUUUUGAGAUUAUAUUUGUGUUUUUAAUAGCGUUGUAUUAAUUUUCUGUGUCUUAAUCCUUUAGUGCAAUUCUAACUUUUUUCUUUUUUAUGGUUUAUGUAAUAGGAGUAUUGUCUAUAUUAGGAUCUCUGAUCGGGAAAUUCUUAAAAUAUGGUAACUGGAGAUGAUGUUAGGCCGAUGAUGCUAAGGUAAAAACCACAAUCCGAU